RNAcentral lists this ribosomal RNA (504 nucleotides) under uncultured bacterium. RNAcentral's name for it is "partial 16S ribosomal RNA". It matches the Rfam family "Bacterial small subunit ribosomal RNA", at positions 30 to 523 of the family's 1533-position model. The record is from RNAcentral.
AUUGAACGCUGGCGGCAGGCCUAACACAUGCAAGUCGAACGGUAGCACAGAGAGCUUGCUCUCGGGUGACGAGUGGCGGACGGGUGAGUAACGUCUGGGAAACUGCCUGAUGGAGGGGGAUAACUACUGGAAACGGUAGCUAAUACCGCAUAACGUCGCAAGACCAAAGUGGGGGACCUUCGGUCCUCACACCAUCGGAUGUGCCCAGAUGGGAUUAGCUAGUAGGUGGGGUAAUGGCUCACCUAGGCGACGAUCCCUAGCUGGUCUGAGAGGAUGACCAGCCACACUGGAACUGAGACACGGUCCAGGCUCCCACGGGAGGCAGCAGUGGGGAAUAUUGCACAAUGGGCGCAAGCCUGAUGCAGCCAUGCCGCGUGUAUGAAGAAGGCCUUCGGGUUGUAAAGUACUUGCAGCGGGGAGGAAGGCGGUGAAGUUAAUAACUUCACCGAUUGACGUUACCCGCAGAAGAAGCACCGGCUAACUCCGUGCCAGCAGCCGCGGUAA